Molecule: RNA transcript, 1494 nt
Organism: Maylandia zebra (zebra mbuna)
Lineage: Eukaryota; Metazoa; Chordata; Actinopteri; Cichliformes; Cichlidae
Source: RefSeq, a predicted model, not a curated record
ACCUGCUGGUUAAGUGUAAGCCGCUCCUUAUUAGUCUGUCACUUCAUUUGUUUUCUUUUAUCAAGAACUGCUGAGGAGUAGAGCGGAGUUGUUUGAUAAGAGCAACAUAAAAGAAAGAAAAGGUUUUGUUGCUGGGAAGUUUAAGGAGACAGAGUACUUGGCUCGUGCGUAAGAUGGAUACGUCUACGAACCUUUGAAGGACUGUUGUCACUGCUGUUCCAGGUGUUGCGCCAGUAAAGAAGAGGACACCGAAUGUUGUUUAUAGAUAGCUCGUCACGAUUAAAAGCCCGACGCUGACACUUUUAUUAGGGUCGUUUUAACUGUCCACGCCACCUCUUGCAACACAGGUCACUGCAUCCCUUUAGUCAAAGAUGACAGAGAGGACCCCAUGGUGGAAGGCAUUCCUGCCAAAGAAAAAGGCCUCCAAGGAUCAAGCCUUUGAUGUGAACUUUGACCCUUGGGCAAAAUCCUCUCCUGCAGCCUCCAAGGCCUCCCAGCCGGUGUCCAACAACAGCUCCAGCCUGCUCAGCGAUGAAACCUUCGACGACUCCCGACUGGACUCGGUCUUCAAUGAGCAGACUUGUCGCAGGAACAUGAAUAUAUCGCGCUCAGGCCGAUUCAAAGAAAAGAAGAAGAUCCGUACAACUAUUCCAAUAGAGCAGAAAGAGAAAGAGAACGUGACGUCUGGGAGAGAGGACGCACGGUGACAGCAAGGAGUAAAAAGCCGGGCGAUCAAAGACUGCUUUACAGAGAUGCUUGAAGACGGAGGAGAAGAAGAAAUCAAGGUCUAUGAAGAUGUUUCACUCUCAUGAAGCAUGCCAGGAAUUCUGCUGAUUUUUCUUUUUUUUCUUCUUUUUUUAUAUGUUGGUGAUAAUGAAGACGAUGAGCAUUCAAGUUUUAGCCCAAUACUGGAAAAAAAGGAUGAUUUUAGACAUUUGUUGAUGCACUUUGCCAGAAAGCCAAAAAAACAGUGUCAGCAAUAUUACACUUAGAAAACAGGAAUGCCCUUUCUCCUUUCAGUGCUCCAUAUGUGUUUCAGGAAGGAACUGCUCAUAAAAUGUUUACAUUUUUUCUGUAAUAAGAUUAAUAGAAAAUAAUAUCUAAUAAUAUAAACCUAAUAAUGAAGGAUAUGUGUAACAAUAAUUUUACAGUGCUUUUUAUAAGGGCUAUAAGGGUGUUUAUGAAGGUGUAAAUGGUUCCUUUAUGUGUGUGUGUGUGAAGAAAACAGAGAGAGAAAAAAAUGGUUUGUUAGCAGUGCUUAAUCAGAUGCACAAAACUUGUCAGCAAAAUGCAUAAAAUACUUCAAUGAAGGAUUCAAAUUGACAUAUUGCACAAAACCUUUAGCAAAGCCAUCACUGCUGAAAUAUCCAGGCAGAUGAAAUGAGGACAAGGAAGUGAUGUUAAUUUCUUUUUAAGACUUCUCUGCUUUUGGAUGGCCUCUGAAUAGUUUUACAUGAAGGCAAAAUAUGAGAAAUAAAUCUGACAUCUGCUACA